CGUGAAGUGACAAUCUAUUAUCUGAAAGAGGACUUGGAAGAGUUUAAGUGCAUAUUGAGAAUUCCUGCCCAACUAGUCAAAUAAGUAAAAAAGGAACUACAUCUACAAAAAAAGAGUGAAAAAUGAACAAAGAGUGAAAAAUGAAAUCAGCAGAAAGUCUACAAUGGAAGAGCUACCUAGAAACCAACAAAUGGCCUACAUUCUGGGUCACAACAGCUCAAUGUACAGUGAUGGACUCCUCAUUAGCUGUGCACUAGGUGGCUGGGCAUGCAGAAACUAUAAGGCCCCGGCGAGCACAGGAGUAGAAGACAACUGGAUCCUGAGCCACUCUCAAGCAAGGAGAGCAAUGCAGCUUAGAGAGAGAAAAAUGCCUUGCUGAGGGUCAACAGCAAGUGCACAGAUCCCAGGGCUGUGAUGGGACCAGAAGAUGAAGUGCUCUGGCUUCGGGAAAAGAGACCCAAGCCACAAGGUAAAGCCACUGCUCACCAGCCUGGGGCCUACAGGGGACUGAGGUGUGUCUGCAGUUGGGUUUUAACCCCCGUGUGUGUGUGACAAGAGGCAAAAAUGUAUCUGCUAGCCAGGUGUAUCACACACCUGUAAUCCCA
Molecule: long non-coding RNA, 605 nt
Filed under: Heterocephalus glaber (naked mole-rat)
Lineage: Eukaryota; Metazoa; Chordata; Mammalia; Rodentia; Bathyergidae
Description: lncRNA (ENSHGLG00000027396.2)
Source: RNAcentral